UUCCCUCUGAAAUCUCCCUCAGGAUAGCUAGUGCCCUCCCAGAGAUGUUGCUGAAAACUCCACAGUUUUAUCUGGUAAAGCAAAUUAUUAGAGGUCUUACAGCUGAAAUAAUCUCAACCUAUCCUCAAAGAUUAAAUGGAUAAGCAGCCGGCUUGCUGGCGUGGAAUCCAUAGCGGAAUGUGAGUCCCUAGUGGUACUUUUGGUAGGCAGAACUGGUAUUGCCAGAUGAACCGAACAGGUUGAGGCCCACUGGACCCCACUGACGUUCAUCAGACUCCAGGAAAGGUGUUGGUUGGUGUAGAUAGCAGGACAGUGGCCAUGGAAGUCAGAAUCUGCUAAGGAGUUUAUAACAACUCACCUGCUGAAUCACGUAGCCCUGAAAAUGGAUUUCACUGGAGUGUCUGGCCCAUCCAGCUGUCAGUUUGGGAGCAGUUUGGGAGCAGUUUGGGAGCAAACGCUCACUGCUUCUGGAUCCCACAGAAGCUAUGCUUUGAUGAGUAGGAGGAUCUGUGCAGUGAAGCCUUGAAGCCUAGGACACGGGGCCAGGUGGAGCCAUUGCAGGUG
Molecule: non-coding RNA, 564 nt
Filed under: Mus musculus (house mouse)
Lineage: Eukaryota; Metazoa; Chordata; Mammalia; Rodentia; Muridae
Description: Eukaryotic large subunit ribosomal RNA
Rfam family: Eukaryotic large subunit ribosomal RNA
Source: Rfam by way of RNAcentral